AACGCAACUUGCGCCUCUGAGAGGAGGCAUGUCUGCUUGAGGACCGUAACCAAAGAUUGUUCCUGGCGAGGGACAGAGAUGAGGCGACACUUGAGGGUGGGCCUUGGAAUGGAGGAUGAGCGUGUGAUGCUCUGGCAUGUGGUGGGGCAGUAGCCUUGUCAUGGCAGAGCAGAAGGGAGGAUGGGACGGGUGGAUGAGGCUGGUGGAUGCAUGCUUGUACAGCACCAGUGUGUACAGCACCAGUGUGUACAGCACCAGUGUGUACACCACCAACUCCCAUCACACCAAACUUCCACCACACCACACCACAAACCAAUGACACGGUCUCAAGUCAGGCAGGACUACCCGCUGAACUUAA
Molecule: unclassified non-coding RNA, 358 nt
Filed under: uncultured fungus
Lineage: Eukaryota; Fungi
Description: partial contains 5.8S ribosomal RNA, internal transcribed spacer 2, and large subunit ribosomal RNA
Source: RNAcentral